This 1455-nucleotide ribosomal RNA is filed under the name uncultured Bordetella sp. RNAcentral's name for it is "partial 16S-23S ribosomal RNA intergenic spacer". It matches the Rfam family "Bacterial small subunit ribosomal RNA". The record is from RNAcentral. Lineage: Bacteria; Pseudomonadati; Pseudomonadota; Betaproteobacteria; Burkholderiales; Alcaligenaceae.
AGGUUCGAUUAUGGCUCCAGUUGGUGGCGGGAUGCUUUACACAUGCAAGUCGAACGGCAGCACGGACCUGGUCUGGUGGCGAGUGGCGAACUUGGGUGAGUAAUGUAUCGGAACGUGCCUAGUAGCGGGGGAUAACUACGCGAAAGCGUAGCUAUUACAUACCGCCCUUCGGGAAGCAGGACCUUCGGGCCUCGCACUAUUCGGCAGCCGAUAUCGGAUUAGCCCAGUUGGUGGGGUAACAGCUCACCAAGGCGACGUCCAUAACUGAGUUUGAGGAGGACGACCAGCCACACUGGGACUGAGGCACGGCCAGACUCCUGCAGGAGGGCAGCAGUGAAAUUUUGGACUAAUGGGGAAACCUGAUCCAGCCAUCCCGCGUGUGUGCGAUGAGGCGCUUCGGGUUGUAAGCACUUUUGUGGAAAGAAACGGCACGGGAUGUACCCAUGCAACCUGACAAUGCCUGCAGAAUAAGCACCGGCUAACUACGUGCCAGCAGCCGCGGUAAUACGUAGGGUGCAAGCGUUAAUCGGAAUUACUGGGCGUAAAGCGUGCGCAGGCUUGGUUCGGAAGAAAAGAUGUGAAAUCCCAGAGCUUAACUUUGGAACUGCAUUUUCCGCUUUACCGAGCUAGAGUGUGUCAGAGGAGGUGGAAUUCCACGCGUGCUUGAUGAAAUGCGUAGAUAUGCGGAGGAACACCGAUGGCGAAAGUAAAAGCCUCUGGGAUAACACUGACGCUCAUGCACGAAAGCGUGGGAGCAAACAGGAUUAGAUACCCUGGUAGUCCCACGCCCUAAACGAUGUCAACUAGCUGUUGGGGCCUUCGGGCCUUGGUAUACCAACUAACGACAGUUGACCACCUGGGAAAUACGGUCACUAAGAUUAAAACUCAAAGGAAUUGACGGGGACCCGCACAAGCGGUGGAUGAUGGAUUAAUUCGAUGCAACGCGAAAACCCUUAUACCGCCUGACAUGUCUGGAAUCCCGAAGAGAUUUGGAGUGCUCGCAAGAGAACCGGAACACAGGUGCUGCAUGGCUGUCGUCAGCUCGUGUCGUGAGAUGUUGGGUUAAGUCCUGGCAAGCGCAACCUUGUCAUUAGUUGCUACGAAAGGGCACUCUAAUGAGACUGCCGAUGACAAACCGGAGGAAGGUGGGACAUCAAGUCACUCAUGGCCCUUAUGGUGAACCACCGUCAUACAAUGGUCGGAACAGAGGGUCGCCAGCCCGCGAGGAGGGAACCAAUCCCAGAAACCCGAUCGUGAUCCGGAUCGCAGUCACAACUCGACGCGACAAGUCGGAAUCGCUAGUAAUCGCGGAUCAGCGUGUCAUGGUGAAUGGUCCCGGGUCUUGUACACACCGCCCGUCACACCAUGGGAGUGCAUUUACCAGAAGUAGUUAGCUAACCGUAAGGAGGGCGGUGCAAAGUAGGACCCAUGACUGGUGAAGUCGUAACAAGGUAA